This 416-nucleotide long non-coding RNA is filed under the name Carica papaya (papaya). RNAcentral's name for it is "long non-coding RNA (CPAP_LNC015900)". Lineage: Eukaryota; Viridiplantae; Streptophyta; Magnoliopsida; Brassicales; Caricaceae. The record is from RNAcentral.
GGGUAUGACAUAACACAAUUAUAAUAAUCAUUUUCAAUCCAUUACCAAGCCUAACAAUUCAGUUCAGAAAACACCACAGGACAGCAAUUUCACGACACAAUCUGAUAGCACUUCCUCUCCAUUUAUAAAGAAACUAACAAGAACAGAGAUGACAUAAAGGAGACUGAAUGGGUUGUGUUAUAACUGCGAUGAAUCAUUUGUUCCGGAUCACCAAUGUAAACAAUUGUUUUCCUCGAGAUUGAACGCGACGCUGGUUCUGAGCAACAAAAAAAUACCAACAAGGCAACUACAUCCACAAUUCAAGGUCGAGGACAAGCUUGAAAAUUAGGGUGGAGUAAUGUUAUGAAUGCAAAUAUAGAAGGCACAGCAAGAAUAGAAAAUUGACAUUUAAUUACAUAUAGAAUUCUAAUUAGUAU